CCUACGGGAGGCAGCAGUGGGGAAUAUUGCACAAUGGGGGAAACCCUGAUGCAGCGACGCCGCGUGAGUGAAGAAGUAUUUCGGUACGUAAAGCUCUAUCAGCAGGGAAGAAAAUGACGGUACCUGACUAAGAAGCCCCGGCUAACUACGUGCCCGCAGCCGCGGUAAUACGUAGGGGGCAAGCGUUAUCCGGAUUUACUGGGUGUAAAGGGAGCGUAGACGGCAGCGCAAGUCUGGAGUGAAAUCCCAUGGCUUAACCAUGGAACUGCUUUGGAACCUGUGCAGCUAGAGUGCAGGAGAGGUAAGCGGAAUUCCUAGUGUAGCGGUGAAAUGCGUAGAUAUUAGGAGGAACACCAGUGGCGAAGGCGGCUUACUGGACUGUAACUGACGUUGAGGCUCGAAAGCGUGGGGAGCAAACAGGAUUAGAUACCCCAGUAGUC
This 440-nucleotide ribosomal RNA is filed under the name uncultured bacterium. RNAcentral's name for it is "partial 16S ribosomal RNA". It matches the Rfam family "Bacterial small subunit ribosomal RNA", at positions 338 to 795 of the family's 1533-position model. The record is from RNAcentral.